Molecule: long non-coding RNA, 827 nt
Organism: Lynx canadensis (Canada lynx)
Lineage: Eukaryota; Metazoa; Chordata; Mammalia; Carnivora; Felidae
Exons: 3
Source: RefSeq, a predicted model, not a curated record
GGGAGGUACCUGGAACUGGGAGUGAUGUCAGCUCCUAGCUCUGUGCCUGCCCGGAUUCCUGACAUGGUGUAGGGCCGAGAGGGUGGGGAAGGCGGGAGCGGGACGGGAAAGGGUUCGGGCUGGGAGCCUGCGGCGGGGCCACCGUGCUGGAGCUUUGAACUCGGACGGAAGGUGAACCAGAACUUUUGGAACUGGCGCCGGCGGCUCUCCACUCCCCAGGCCCAGCUGAGGCAGUUCAGGAAGCUCUUGUUGCCGAGAGCCUGCGUGGAAACUCAGCCCUCAAACUCUGCUGGAAGCAGUAUAGAAGAAUUUUAUGGAUCAGUUUGCUAAGAAGUACAUGGAAAAUUUGAAGAGCUGAAGAAAAAAAAUCACUAUUAAACUUGCUUUUAAAAAUGUGAGUAAACUUUCUCCUCUGCAUUGUUUAUUUCCAACACUUGUAAAGCCUGUAAUUACCUUUCUGUAUAUUGAGUGUGUAAAUUUUUUCCCAGUAGUAAAGUUACUCAACUGUGUCCGUCUACUCAUUAAGUCUGUGACAAUUGAUGACCCACCCCCCUCUGGAAAAGUUUUUCAAUUCUAAAAGUGCUAUGACUAACAUAGGUGAUUGUAGAAUUUAGAUGUGUUAUGGCAGUCAGUGAGCAAAUCUGGUUGGCAGCGAGAAGAAAAACACAGACCUGCUAGCACAGAAAAAGCACCACCCUCUUCUCAAUCCUUGAUGGCUCUUUGUCCCACAGACCAUCUCAGUGCUGUAUUGAAGCCAGUGAGAAUUUGGUCAACCCCUUAAUGACCCUGUACGUUUAGAAACAUGAGGUGUUUUCACAUAAGCUUAU